RNAcentral lists this ribosomal RNA (272 nucleotides) under uncultured bacterium. Its description in RNAcentral is "partial 16S ribosomal RNA". It matches the Rfam family "Bacterial small subunit ribosomal RNA", at positions 355 to 619 of the family's 1533-position model. The record is from RNAcentral.
UGGGGAAUAUUGCACAAUGGGCGCAAGCCUGAUGCAGCCAUGCCGCGUGUGUGAAGAAGGCCUUCGGGUUGUAAAGCACUUUCAGCGAGGAGGAAGGGUUCAGUGUUAAUAGCACUGUUCAUUGACGUUACUCGCAGAAGAAGCACCGGCUAACUCCGUGCCAGCAGCCGCGGUAAUACGGAGGGUGCAAGCGUUAAUCGGAAUUACUGGGCGUAAAGCGCACGCAGGCGGUUUGUUAAGUCAGAUGUGAAAUCCCCGCGCUUAACGUGGGA